Molecule: ribosomal RNA, 253 nt
Filed under: uncultured bacterium
Lineage: Bacteria
Description: partial 16S ribosomal RNA
Rfam family: Bacterial small subunit ribosomal RNA
Source: RNAcentral
UACGUAGGGGGCGAGCGUUGUCCGGAUUUAUUGGGCGUAAAGAGCGUGUAGGCGGCCAGGUAGGUCGGUUGUGAAAACUGGAGGCUUAACCUUCAGACGUCGACCGAAACCAUCUGGCUAGAGUCCGGAAGAGGAGAGUGGAAUUCCUGGUGUAGCGGUGAAAUGCGCAGAUAUUGGGAAGAACACCAGUGGCGAAGGCGGUUCUCUGGGACGGUACUGACGCUGAGACGCGAAAGCGUGGGGAGCGAACAGG